This 2940-nucleotide ribosomal RNA is filed under the name Salmonella enterica subsp. enterica serovar Typhimurium. RNAcentral describes it as "bacterial LSU rRNA". It matches the Rfam family "Bacterial large subunit ribosomal RNA". Lineage: Bacteria; Pseudomonadati; Pseudomonadota; Gammaproteobacteria; Enterobacterales; Enterobacteriaceae. The record is from RNAcentral.
ACGUGCUAAUCUGCGAUAAGCGCCGGUAAGGUGAUAUGAACCGUUAUAACCGGCGAUUUCCGAAUGGGGAAACCCAGUGUGACUCGUCACACUAUCAUUAACUGAAUCCAUAGGUUAAUGAGGCGAACCGGGGGAACUGAAACAUCUAAGUACCCCGAGGAAAAGAAAUCAACCGAGAUUCCCCCAGUAGCGGCGAGCGAACGGGGAGGAGCCCAGAGCCUGAAUCAGCAUGUGUGUUAGUGGAAGCGUCUGGAAAGGCGCGCGAUACAGGGUGACAGCCCCGUACACAAAAGCGCAUGUGCUGUGAGCUCGAUGAGUAGGGCGGGACACGUGGUAUCCUGUCUGAAUAUGGGGGGACCAUCCUCCAAGGCUAAAUACUCCUGACUGACCGAUAGUGAACCAGUACCGUGAGGGAAAGGCGAAAAGAACCCCGGCGAGGGGAGUGAAAAAGAACCUGAAACCGUGUACGUACAAGCAGUGGGAGCCCCACCACUAAGCCAGUGGUGAACUCCACAUACGCAUCCUUUGCUGAGGAUACGGUUAACGGAGCGAAAGCGACGUUCAACCUCAAAAGAAGCAGAGGGGGCUUAGUGGUGGGGUGACUGCGUACCUUUUGUAUAAUGGGUCAGCGACUUAUAUUCUGUAGCAAGGUUAACCGAAUAGGGGAGCCGGAGGGAAACCGAGUCUUAACCGGGCGUUAAGUUGCAGGGUAUAGACCCGAAACCCGGUGAUCUAGCCAUGGGCAGGUUGAAGGUUGGGUAACACUAACUGGAGGACCGAACCGACUAAUGUUGAAAAAUUAGCGGAUGACCUGUGGCUGGGGGUGAAAGGCCAAUCAAACCGGGAGAUAGCUGGUUCUCCCCGAAAGCUAUUUAGGUAGCGCCUCGUGAAUUCAUCUCCGGGGGUAGAGCACUGUUUCGGCUAGGGGGCCAUCCCGGCUUACCAACCCGAUGCAAACUGCGAAUACCGGAGAAUGUUAUCACGGGAGACACACGGCGGGUGCUAACGUCCGUCGUGAAGAGGGAAACAACCCAGACCGCCAGCUAAGGUCCCAAAGUCAUGGUUAAGUGGGAAACGAUGUGGGAAGGCCCAGACAGCCAGGAUGUUGGCUUAGAAGCAGCCAUCAUUUAAAGAAAGCGUAAUAGCUCACUGGUCGAGUCGGCCUGCGCGGAAGAUGUAACGGGGCUAAACCAUGCACCGAAGCUGCGGCAGCGACACUCAGGUGUUGUUGGGUAGGGGAGCGUUCUGUAAGCCUGUGAAGGUGGCCUGUGAGGGUUGCUGGAGGUAUCAGAAGUGCGAAUGCUGACAUAAGUAACGAUAAAGCGGGUGAAAAGCCCGCUCGCCGGAAGACCAAGGGUUCCUGUCCAACGUUAAUCGGGGCAGGGUGAGUCGACCCCUAAGGCGAGGCCGAAAGGCGUAGUCGAUGGGAAACGGGUUAAUAUUCCCGUACUUGGUGUUACUGCGAAGGGGGGACGGAGAAGGCUAUGUUGGCCGGGCGACGGUUGUCCCGGUUUAAGCGUGUANNCACUUUAACACUGAGGCGUGAUGACGAGGCACUACGGUGCUGAAGCAACAAAUGCCCUGCUUCCAGGAAAAGCCUCUAAGCAUCAGGUAACAUCAAAUCGUACCCCAAACCGACACAGGUGGUCAGGUAGAGAAUACCAAGGCGCUUGAGAGAACUCGGGUGAAGGAACUAGGCAAAAUGGUGCCGUAACUUCGGGAGAAGGCACGCUGACACGUAGGUGAAGUGAUUUACUCAUGGAGCUGAAGUCAGUCGAAGAUACCAGCUGGCUGCAACUGUUUAUUAAAAACACAGCACUGUGCAAACACGAAAGUGGACGUAUACGGUGUGACGCCUGCCCGGUGCCGGAAGGUUAAUUGAUGGGGUCAGCGCAAGCGAAGCUCCUGAUCGAAGCCCCGGUAAACGGCGGCCGUAACUAUAACGGUCCUAAGGUAGCGAAAUUCCUUGUCGGGUAAGUUCCGACCUGCACGAAUGGCGUAAUGAUGGCCAGGCUGUCUCCACCCGAGACUCAGUGAAAUUGAACUCGCUGUGAAGAUGCAGUGUACCCGCGGCAAGACGGAAAGACCCCGUGAACCUUUACUAUAGCUUGACACUGAACAUUGAGCCUUGAUGUGUAGGAUAGGUGGGAGGCUUUGAAGUGUGGACGCCAGUCUGCAUGGAGCCGACCUUGAAAUACCACCCUUUAAUGUUUGAUGUUCUAACGUGGACCCGUGAUCCGGGUUGCGGACAGUGUCUGGUGGGUAGUUUGACUGGGGCGGUCUCCUCCUAAAGAGUAACGGAGGAGCACGAAGGUUGGCUAAUCCUGGUCGGACAUCAGGAGGUUAGUGCAAUGGCAUAAGCCAGCUUGACUGCGAGCGUGACGGCGCGAGCAGGUGCGAAAGCAGGUCAUAGUGAUCCGGUGGUUCUGAAUGGAAGGGCCAUCGCUCAACGGAUAAAAGGUACUCCGGGGAUAACAGGCUGAUACCGCCCAAGAGUUCAUAUCGACGGCGGUGUUUGGCACCUCGAUGUCGGCUCAUCACAUCCUGGGGCUGAAGUAGGUCCCAAGGGUAUGGCUGUUCGCCAUUUAAAGUGGUACGCGAGCUGGGUUUAGAACGUCGUGAGACAGUUCGGUCCCUAUCUGCCGUGGGCGCUGGAGAACUGAGGGGGGCUGCUCCUAGUACGAGAGGACCGGAGUGGACGCAUCACUGGUGUUCGGGUUGUCAUGCCAAUGGCACUGCCCGGUAGCUAAAUGCGGAAGAGAUAAGUGCUGAAAGCAUCUAAGCACGAAACUUGCCCCGAGAUGAGUUCUCCCUGAGACUUAAAGUCUCCUGAAGGAACGUUGAAGACGACGACGUUGAUAGGCCGGGUGUGUAAGCGCAGCGAUGCGUUGAGCUAACCGGUACUAAUGAACCGUGAGGCUUAACCUUACAACGCCGAAG